Long non-coding RNA from Canis lupus familiaris (dog), 363 nucleotides. RefSeq lists it as uncharacterized. NCBI's taxonomy places the organism in Eukaryota, Metazoa, Chordata, Mammalia, Carnivora, Canidae. The transcript is spliced from 3 exons. The record is from RefSeq and is a predicted model, not a curated record.
UUGCCUGUAGCCCCCAGCCAGCUCCCGUCCCCAGCAUUAGAUUUCUGACCCUCGAAGCUCUCGGUGAUGAGGCCAGGUGGAGCGGUGCUCUUGCUGGCCCCACCCCAGCAGGGCCACAGUCACCAGCUGCUGCAUGCUGGCACCUGGGCCAGCGCUGAAGCAGAGUUUUCUGCGACAAUGGAAAUAUUUUGAGUCUGGACCAUCCAGCACAUAACCCCGGACCGAAGGAUGGGGGUACACACAUCCCUCCCUCGGGUGUGAUUGGCAGUAAAGGAAGGCCAGGACCACCUUUCUACCCCUCGCUGUAUCAAGGCCAAGAGGACCCUUGUUCAACGAUGUGGCUACCUUGGGACCCUGGCCAGG